UACGGGGGGGGCAAGCGUUGUUCGGAAUUACUGGGCGUAAAGGGCUCGUAGGCGGCCAACUAAGUCGGACGUGAAAUCCCUCGGCUUAACCGGGGAACUGCGUCUGAUACUGGAUGGCUAGAGGUUGGGAGAGGGAUGCGGAAUUCCAGGUGUAGCGGUGAAAUGCGUAGAUAUCUGGAGGAACACCGGUGGCGAAGGCGGCAUCCUGGACCAAUUCUGACGCUGAGGAGCGAAAGCCAGGGGAGCAAACGGG
This 253-nucleotide ribosomal RNA is filed under the name uncultured bacterium. Its description in RNAcentral is "partial 16S ribosomal RNA". It matches the Rfam family "Bacterial small subunit ribosomal RNA", at positions 524 to 776 of the family's 1533-position model. The record is from RNAcentral.